AUUGAACGCUGGCGGCAUGCCUUACACAUGCAAGUCGAACGGUAACAGGUCUUCGGAUGCUGACGAGUGGCGAACGGGUGAGUAAUACAUCGGAACGUGCCUAGUAGUGGGGGAUAACUACUCGAAAGAGUGGCUAGUACCGCAUGAGAUCUACGGAUGAAAGCAGGGGAUCGCAAGACCUUGUGCUACUAGAGCGGCCGAUGGCAGAUUAGGUAGUUGGUGGGAUAAAAGCUUACCAAGCCGACGAUCUGUAGCUGGACUGGGAGGACGAUCAGCCAAACUGGGACUGAGACACGACCAGGAUUCCGACGGGAGGCAGCAGUGGGGAAUUUUGGACAAUGGGCGCAAGCCUGAUCCAGCAAUGCCGCGUGCAGGAUGAAGGCCUUCGGGUUGUAAACUGCUUUUGUACGGAACGAAAAGCCCCGGGUUAAUACCCUGGGGUCAUGACGGUACCGUAAGAAUAAGCACCGGCUAACUACGUGCCAGCCGCCGCCGUAA
This 498-nucleotide ribosomal RNA is filed under the name uncultured bacterium. RNAcentral's name for it is "partial 16S ribosomal RNA". It matches the Rfam family "Bacterial small subunit ribosomal RNA", at positions 30 to 523 of the family's 1533-position model. The record is from RNAcentral.